Molecule: ribosomal RNA, 446 nt
Filed under: uncultured bacterium
Lineage: Bacteria
Description: bacterial SSU rRNA
Rfam family: Bacterial small subunit ribosomal RNA
Source: RNAcentral
CGCCAGACUCCUACGGGAGGCAGCAGUGGGGGAUAUUGCACAAUGGGGGAAACCCUGAUGCAGCGACGCCGCGUGGGCGAAGAAGUAUUUCGGUAUGUAAAGCUCUAUCAGCAGGGAAGAAAAUGACGGUACCUGAGUAAGAAGCUCCGGCUAAAUACGUGCCAGCAGCCGCGGUAAUACGUAUGGAGCAAGCGUUAUCCGGAUUUACUGGGUGUAAAGGGAGCGCAGGCGGUCUGGCAAGUCUGAUGUGAAAUACCGGGGCUCAACUCCGGGACUGCAUUGGAAACUGUCAGACUGGAGUGUCGGAGAGGCAGGCGGAAUUCCUGGUGUAGCGGUGAAAUGCGUAGAUAUCCGGAGGAACACCAGUGGCGAAGGCGGCCUGCUGGACGAUGACUGACGCUGAGGCUCGAAAGCGUGGGGAGCAAACAGGAUUAGAUACCCCUGUA